This 161-nucleotide unclassified non-coding RNA is filed under the name uncultured fungus. RNAcentral describes it as "sequence contains ITS1, 5.8S rRNA gene". Lineage: Eukaryota; Fungi. The record is from RNAcentral.
GAGAGUUACGAGGCUCCGAAACACCGCGAACAUACCACUACGUUGCCUCGGCGGGCGGCUCCAGGGCGGAGCCUCCGGCCCCCCCCCCGGGGGGGGCGCCCGCCGCGAGGCCCCAAACCCCGUUGUGACUAGGCCCCUCUGAGUACCCGCGCAAGCACUAA